UGGCGGGCAGUCAUAGAUCCCCUGAGUCCACGCACAUAUUCUGCUCCUCUACAUUUCAUUAUUACUAAGUAUUACUAAUGAUGAAGCAAAUAAUAUAAUUGUUUUUCAUAUGAUAUCGUCGGAAACCGCUUAACAAGUGUUAUGGUGAUUGGAAGUGUAUGGUGCAGUCAUAACCGAUAGGAUACGUCCGUUAUAACCUCAAAUAUAUAUACAACAAUUCGGAGCAAUGCACCAUAAUUACAAUUCUAUCAAGUUCUUUAGAACUAAGUGAUUCCGUCUCUACUCAUAAUAAUGCAUGGAGAACGAAAAUCUCAACAAAUGCAGCUUAAUUGGAAUCAGCAGAACAGGAUUUCAACAGUAAUGUUCUGUACCAUUGAGCUUGCAGAGAAUUUUUGGUCAAUGAGCCAAAAACGACACACCAGACACUGGAUCUAUCCUCAUCCAAAACUAAUCACCCACAACGAUUGAAGAUGUGGUUUUAAUGAAGGCCUUCAUAGUAUUAUACUCCACGGAAGUGUAGAAACAAUGUAUCAAGUUGGCGACAAUUUCUUGAUUACAUCUCCAGAACCUGGCAACGAUGAUUCUGAACCACGAGAGAGGGACAUUUCUGGAUACGUCAUGUCUCAUACGCACUUAUUUUCAAAAUACUAUCAUCACUAAUAAAAAAUGAGAGAAUUCAGACUCAAGUGUUGUCUUGAAACUUAGCAAUAUCAUGCGCAUUUGUACAGAUCAGAUUGUACUUUUCUGGUUGAAGUGAUAAAAUAAUUUAAGUGGCAGUGCUCAACAAUCAUCUGAGAAUGCUGUUAAGGCUGGGAGACACGCUUAGCAAUGAAAUCAUCAUGGAUGACAAAAUGUGCCUUCAUAAUCUGGAAAUCAUGAAGGGAGACGCCAUGGAAACUAUUGGUUUAUUGCUACGUCUGAAAGCAUCUCCUGGUUCAAGGAUGAAUGGGAAUAUAAGAAGGAGUACAUGCUUCAUCAAAAUGAACAGAAGCUACGAGACCUGGAGCACGAAUACAUGGCUCGUUGUCACUUGUUUCUUCGUUUCAAUCCAGAAGGACGGACCGCCUAUAAGGACAACAAACGAAACUCAGACGAUGUAUAUUGGUUAAAGACAUUGGUUCCUCAGAGAUGCGAUCUAAUCGGAAAGUCGACUAAACAAGCUAGUGGAGUAGUCGAGACAAAAUUAAAAUUCGUUGUCAAAAAUCAAAGAAAACAUUUCGAAUUAUUUUAUUGAUUUAUUUGCUUAUUUUAUUGGAGUCAUUCAUAAGUUUUAAGAAAUCUAAUGUUCAUUUCGUUCAUCAAUUCCUCAAUUUAUUAUUUUAAUUUUGUCAUUCUUAUUGCGUGACAUUUUUGGUAAUUUGGUAAUUAAGUAAUUUGGUAAUUGAGGAAUUAAUUAGAAGCAACUGAAAAAAUCACUUUGAAUUCUGUAUUACUUUCAUUGAAUUAUGUUAAUAAACAUUUACCAAAUUUUUAUCAAAUAAUUUUUGUCUUCAUUCUCAUAUUUUGCUCACUUUUCU
Long non-coding RNA from Diachasma alloeum, 1517 nucleotides. RefSeq lists it as uncharacterized. Lineage: Eukaryota; Metazoa; Arthropoda; Insecta; Hymenoptera; Braconidae. The record is from RefSeq and is a predicted model, not a curated record. The transcript has 4 exons.